UCAAAUAGUGUUAAAUUCUUCAAAGUGUUUGAUUAAACCUAAACAGUGGCACACAAGUCUCCAAACAAUAAAAAAUUCACCAUAUUCAUCUCCAUAUUCACUAAAGUACUCCAAAUAGGUUAAUGAGAAUUCGGACAUGUGUCCCAAACUAAAACAAUAAUAAAACUACAAAAUAAAUAAUAAUAAAAAUCCAAAGAUAACUAUUUGGGGAAUAAAGCCACUUCAAUGAUCAAAGUUAAUUCAUUGUUGGAAUAUUCACUAUAUGAGCACUUCAGUAAGUGAGAUUGAGAAAACAAAUAAGAAGACUUAACAAAUUUGUAAAAAUCAACCUUUUACUUACAACUUUGAUAUGACCUGAAUGAGAGCUUGCACAGAGGGGAGGAGUACCUUAGGCCUUAAGAGUAGUAAAGGAAUAGAAGUAGUUAUGUUAGUUACUUAUUUGAGGAGUUACAGUUUAGCCCUUGCUUUAUAUUUCACUUAUGUCCAUUAGUUAUUUACUUUACACUUUAGUCCCAUCUAGGAGAGAAUUUGUAAGUGUGUAAUGGUAUUUCAUUGUUCUUAUGAAAUGAAAUCCUCUUAGCUUUAGUUUCUGCAAAUUCUAUUUCUGUUUUUCUUCAAAACCACAUCAAUGGUAUCAGAGCACUUUCUGCUCUAUGGGAUAACGAGAUGUUGGGAGAAAUUAAUGAGGUACUUAAUCGAUUAGAUCGAGUGGCCAUUGAAGUCGCUAAUGUCAACCUUAGGCAGAAUCAGCUGAAAUCUGACAACGAGAAGGCUUUUCGUGAGCUCAAGGAGACGCUUACGGCCGGAGGUAGCUCGAGUCGAGGGAAAGAAACAAGUUCAAUGGUGUCCAAUCGAGAAGAUCAGUACUCCCCUACUGAUGGGCCCUUUGGAAUUUUAGGUAUUGAUGAUCCUAUCUCUUUCCCUCCAUGAAUUCCAACUCUAGAGGGAGUAGACCCAUGGAACUUCAAUUACCUCUUAGCCGGAACCCUAGCUCCAGUCAAAUUCCUCGUCCCCAACCCUACGUACCCUGUUUCACUUCAUUUACCCACUACACAACAAUUAAUCUCAUCUUCUCCAGCUGUACCAUUCAUUUCGACUCAGAACACAAACCCCACAUCAACCUCAAACUCCACCUUCCAAUUCCAUCCAAUUACUGCUCCAAACUCCCAGUAUUCUACUCAAACGAUGUGAGCGAAUGGCCAGAUUUCUUGCUCCAUCCCAUGUUCCAUCACUAACCCAGUACAUAUACCCAUUUCCCAGAAUCAAAUUCUAAACCAUCUGCCUACACCUCAUAUUCCACACCAGUUCACCUUGUACCCAGAAUAUUACAACCCCUGUAUGAACAAUCAACAACCACGCUCCAUUCUGAGGCAAUACAGAAUUAGAUUCCUAAGAUUUGGGGGAAAAGGAUUCCAGGAUUGAUGGUACCAAAUAGAACAAUCUUUUUCAAUGGAUGAGGUUCCUCAUCAGGAGAAGGUAAAGAGGACCCCCAUGCAUUUAGAUGAUUUAGCUACAAUGGCAUCAGGCUUAUAUGAGGGGUAGGGCUCAUUUUCAACUUCCUUUUCCAAGUUGGGAUGAGUAUAUUUGGGCUUUGUCAGAUAGGUUUGAUGCUGAAUUUGAUGAACCUAUGAGUGAAUUGGUCAAAUUAAAGCAAACAUGAGGAGUGGUGGGGUUUCAAGAGUCUUUUGCUCGAGCCAUGACUACGCUCAAUCUAGAACCAAGUUAUGCUAUUAGCAUAUUUAUGGAAGGACUUAAGCUUGAGUUGGGAGAUGCAGUGAGAAUCCUUAAACCAUAUUUCUUGCCCCAAGCUUAUCAUCUGGCUAGACUCUAAGAGUCUAUAUUCAUUAAACAAUCCAAAGCCAUGAAGCUAGCCAUUCUAUAGUCAAGUCCCAGACCCAAUCAGUUCUUACAGUUUAAUAGACCCUCAACUUUCCCUGCUAAUCAUUUACCUAAACCAACCCAACCAGUGGAGGCUGAUAAGUUUAAAAGGAGAAGGUUAACACCAGCAACAUUGAUAGGUGAGAUUUUGAUAUAGGGGUCAGAAUGGAAUUAUGGAAGUUGUAGUAGGUCCGCUGUGUCAUUUGGGAUGUGUGUGCAAAAUUUCAGGUCAUUCGGACGUGGUUUGGUAGAUUUUUUGAUCGAAAGCGGAAUUUAGAAGAUUUUGGAAUUCUUAGGCUCGAAUCUGAUGCAAAUUUGGUGUUUUGAUGUUGUUUUGAGCAUUCUGAAGGUUGUAACAAGUUUGAAUGAUGUUAUGGGAUAUAUUGGCAUGUUUUGUUGAGGUCCCGGGGGCCUUGGGUGAGUAUCGGGUGGUCAAUCAGACCAUUUCAAGAUGUCUGGAAUUGCAGAAAAUUGCAGAUCAGUGUUGCAGAGAAAUGACCUUCGCAUUCGCGAGUGGGUUCUCGCGUUCGCAAAGGGUUAGUUGGUGAAGGCUGGGAUUUAAGCCUUCGCAUUCACGAGGAAGGCUACGUGUUCGCGAAGGGCUGGGUGUUUGACCAUCGCGUUCGUGUGAAGUGGACCGCGUUCGCGUAGAGGAAUUUGGUCAGCUGGACUUGCGGUAUUUUAUUCAUAGUGUUCGCGAGAGGGGUAACACGAUCGCGAAGAGUGGAGACCUAGAAUUUGGGAUUUGAGGGUCCAUUUAUGGUUGGAUUUUGAUGCUUUUGGCAUGAAUGAACUCGCGGAGCAAUAAAGAAUCCAUUGAUGUGAAUUUUAUCGGAAUCCGAGACGUGGCGGGGGUCAGGUUUUGGUAAUUUCGGGAUUUGUGUUGUAAAUUGAUUAUUUUUGCUUGGGCUUCAUUACCUUAGCAUAUUUUGACGUCGUGAUUCUGAUUUUGGAUAGAUUCAACGCGAGUGGAGGCCGAUUCGAGGGGCAAAGGCAUCGCGGGCUAGAGUUUGGACCGAAUUGAGGUGAGUAAUGAUUGUAAAUGAUAUCCUGAAGGUAUAAAACCCCGGAUUUGCACAUUGUUGUGCUAUAUUGAGGUGACGCACAUGCUUGAUGACGAGCGUGGGGUCCUGAACUAUUGGGGAUCAUGACCUAGUCCGUCCCGAAUGAUUAUUUUACCGCGUAUUUGACUGAAAUCUAUUUGGUAUCAUCAUGUUUUGGGCUGAACGCCAUAUUUGGGCCUCGUGCCAACUAUUAUACUUGAACUCAGUCAUGCUAUAUUCCAUUGUUUUCAUAACUCAGCCAUAUUUACUCUGUUUUAACACUUAAGUGAUCUAUUAAAUGAUAUUUUGGGCUGAGAAUCAUGUUUCACUAUUGUCCGAGUGACUUGUGAGGAUUUUGACUGAGUAAGGCCGAGGGCCUAUGUUGUGAGAAAACACUGAUUAUGAUUAUGAGGUCGAGGGCCUGAGAUAUGUACGCCACGAGGUGACUUGUUGAUAUGAGAUCGAGAGCCUAGUGAUGAUGCCACAAGAAGGCUUGAUAUUGCGCUUGGGCCAUAAGGGGCCCCUCCAGGAGUCUGCACACCCCUAGUGAGUGCGAGUACCCAUUGUGAUGUGAGAUGUAGCCCGAGGGGCUGGUAUUGUUCUGAGAUAUUGCCCGAGGGGCGGAGUUGUUGACAUUGUGCCCGAGGGGUGAACCCUUAUGUGUUUAGCUUUCUUAUUUGUUUGUCAUUACUUAUUUAAUUGUUGAAAAGGUAUUUCAUGAAGUUUAAACCGAACUUAAAUGACUUUACAUAUCCUUACUGAUUCACUGUUUUUAUUGUUUUUACUGCUUCAUUAUAGCUUGUAAUGUGCCUUACAUGUUUUCAUACUUCUCAGUCAUUUAUUUAUGAUUAUUACUCACUGAGUUGGAGUACUCACUUUACUCUCUGCACCCCGUGUGCAGAUUCAGGCAUUGCUGAUCCUGCCAGCGCGAGUUGAGAGCUCCCGACAGACUUUAGAGUCCACGAGGUAGCUGCUUGGCGUCCGCAGACCCGUGUUUCUCCCCCAUUUAUCUCAUUUCUAUCUCUUUAUCGUUUGUUCUGUAAUAGUUUAGUAGGAAUUUUAGACUUGUAACGUAUUGUUAGAUGCUUAUGACUAGUGACACCCUGGUAUUGGGCUGUGUUGGAUUUUAUUUCCGCAAUUGUAAUGUUCACUGCUUACCUUUGGGUUAUUUAUUAUGUUUUAGACUUAAUUCUUAUUGUUUAAUUACUUAAAAAUUGAAAUGGAAAAGUGUCGGCUGGCCUUGUCUUCACGAGAGGCGCCAUCACGACCGGGUCUGGGUUUAGGGUCGUGACUUUAUCCUAGGAGAAAGAUUCAUUAGACUAAGUUUCUUAUCUUAGAAGAAAGAUUCAUCAGACUAAGACUUCUAUCCUAUGAGAAAAAUUCAUCAUACUAUGUUCUUAUCUUAGGAGAAAGAUUCAUCAAACUAAGAUUUCUAUCCUAGGAGAAAAUUCAUCAGACUAGGUUUUCUAUCUUAGGAGAAAUUCAUCAGACUAAGAUUUUUAUUGGGAGAAAUCCAUCAGACUAAGACUUUUUAUCCUAGGAGAAAAAUGUGAAGAGAAAUGGGAACAUUUUAUGUACACUAGCAAGACAGAUAAAAGAAAAAAUUUGAGAAACUUCCCUUUGUCGGCUCUUCUCCUUUUUUUUUUUUGGUUUUUGAACCAACUUCCUUGCACUGCUUUGUUCCUGUUUCAAACAAAGAAAAUUUUAUCAGUUUUAAAAGUGGUGGUCGUUUUGUGGCUUUGAGUCUUGGGUAGCUUGGCUUUUGCUCAAUCAGCUUGAGUCAAUUUCAAGAGACUUUUGCUCUACAUCAACCUUGAUUGUUUCACACCCAAUACCAUUUAUAUUUGUGGCUCAAUCAACCUUAUCAACUGGACAUCUUUGCUUAGGUGAACUUUUCUGAUAUCUUGAAUGACUUCCUUCUUUUUGAGCAAUUUGUCUAUCAAAGAGAAUCACCAGUUAUCUUUGCUUGCGCCAAGUAGGCUGAUAAGGGUCUUUUGGGGGACGCCUUUGCAUGAAUCCUCAAGGCAUGUUGAAAGUAACAACUAAGUGUGUUAGCCAAAUUUACUUUGUGCAACUGAAAAGCUGGAAGCAGAUUUUGAAAUCUUUUCUUGCUUGUUUUGACAAGGACGAACUCAGAGUGAAGGACAGAAUAAUGCAAAAAAACAAUAUUAACAAGAAAUGCCACUAUCGGGAAGGAUAGAAGGAAGUUUUUUUUUCAUUUUUUUCAAUAACUAGCCUUAAUGAUCAUGACAUGCAUUUUGGACUUAACGGCCUACUUUAUCAAACUAAUCUAAUCUUCUCUUUUACCAUUCUUAUGACCUUUGAAGUCAGGCUUGUUCGUGUCAAUUCUUUGCAUUAGCUUCACGACUCACUAUUGCCUAGCGGUGCCCCGAGGGGUUUUCACCAACAAGUCUCUCUCAUUUAUUCAUCUCUACUUAUCAUCACCUUACAGUGUCCGUGAGGGUUUUCACUAGUAAGACUCUCUCAUUUUUUUCUUUUAUUUUUAUUUUUCUUUUGCUUGGCAUUCUCAGAACUGAUCAGGAGGUCUUGUUUGGAAGACUUUUGGAUAUGGUUAGAAAGAAAUGACGGCAUGAAGGCUCACAGUAGACUCAAAAUAAGAGGUUGUAUACUUACAACUCUUGGAAUCGACUCUUUCAAAAGUGAAAUAAAAUCUUUGCCCCGAUUUCAGAUAUUGGAGAUUUUUGGAUUUUUUUUGAAUUCUUAUUUGGUUGGACCGAACCAUGUAAGGCUGCCUACGUAUCCUUUUUAAAGGAAUCAGGUCAAACGUAGUUCAAACAUUUGACGUAACCAUUUUUCAUCUUUCUUUCUUUGUCUUAGUCUCUUUUUAUUUUCUUUUUUUUUUCAAAAUAAGUUGCCCCAGUUUUUAUUUUCCGGGGGCAUGAACCUUUGACUGUUCUUUUCUUCGUUUCUUUUUUCACUUGAAAUUUCUAAGUGUUGCCUCAGUUUGUACUAUUGGGGCAUGGACUUUUCUUUCAUUUUUUUUUCAUUUCAUUUUUUUGACUUUUGACUCUAAACUUGAUUCCAAAAUAGGGUGGUCAAAGAAAAUAACACAGACUCAAAAGGGGUAACAAAGGGAAUAAAGUGUUUGGCUCCCAGCCUCGAGAACGCCAAGCAUAGUAUCUUUUUACGAUCACAACAUUGACGAACAUGUAUGUCUUCUUGGUGUGUCGUGGUCACAAGACACUUUCCAUCCCUUAAUAUCAAACUUUCCAACAAACUUCAAUUGAUUAUUGUUCAACCAGAUCUUCAUAAUGAUUUUGAAGGUAAAGAUCCUUAACCUCCACUAAUAUAACUAUUCUAGUUCCACUUGAAUUUUACUCGGGCUUAAUUCCAAGGUAUUUCAACUCUUUUUCAUCCUCAAAAGUGUCUUUUUCUCAGUUGUCCAAUUCAAGCUUAAAUCAAUUUUCUAAGAUCUGGCCAAAAAUUCUGCAUGCAUGUCAUAUCACUAAAACUAGCGGGAAAAAAACUGAGCAUAGAAUGACACAAAAGGAAAAACUCUAUUUUAUUGAGUAAACAAUAAGACAAACAACCUAAAAUCCGAGUUACAACCCUAAAAUAACCCGGAUAAUGAAAAUAGCAACAAAAUAGACAGACAAGACUCACACAAACAGAAUAGAGUGAUAGAAGGGUUUGACUCAAUAUAACAAAUAAAAUCUGGAUGACAACCCUGAAGUAACCCAGAUAAUAGAAAAAACAUCAAAACAAGCUACCAAGAUUCCUUCCUAGUGAGGAGGGAAUGACUUUUCAAUUGCUAGGCUUGACCUUUAGCCACAUAUUUGCUCAUCAGAAUCAGCAGGGCCUUCUCCAAUUUCAAAAUCAUUAACUUCAGCCAACAAGUUCCUGAGAGGAUUCUCAUACUCCCUGUCACCACGCAUCAUCCCCCACAAAAUGUGCAUCAUCAUGUGCAAGUAAAGGAUUCUGCAUGAUAUUUUAGGUGUCAUUGUCUUGGAUCACAAUCAGUUUUUCCUGGAUCAUCCUUUCUAUUUCUUUUUUCAAAUCCCGACAACUUUCAAUAUUGUGCCCCUGGGCAUUGGAAUGGUAUUCACACCUUUUAGAAGGGUCAAAGCUUCUUGCACGUAGGUCCACAUGAUUUGGAGGAAUAGGUGCUAUCAUGUCAUAAUGCUUUAAUUUCUCAAACAAGCUUGCAUAAGACUCUCCUAUUGGUGUAAAAUUAUCUUUCAACAUGUGUUCCUCUCUAUAUCCCUACCUUGGAUGUGGGUUAUAGGGAACUUGAAAUUUUUGUGGAGGCUGGUGGAGAUUUUGUGAUGCUCGUGCUCGCCUUCUGGGGUGUUUUGGUGGCUAGACAACAUACUGAGGUGGAGCAAUAGAGUAUUGUGGGUUCUGAGGUGGAUAGUACUGCUCAGGGGAAUCGUCGCAAACCAGACAAGACUGCUCAUACCUUCGAGAUGUUCUCCUAGGGCCUCUUUUCGACCCUGAUGUCAUCAUGGUUUCUUCAUCCUUCUCAUUCGUGUCACUGAAAUUAUCAGAUUCAAUUUGGACAGCUUGAUUUGCGGCUUUGAGAACUGCUUGACUUAUAAUUCUGCCUGUCUUAAGGCUAUUCUCAACCAUUUUCCCAAUUUUGAUUGCUUUCGAGAAGGAUUUGCCCACUGCGGAUAUCAUGUUUUAAAAAUAAUCUGGCUCUUGAGCCUAAAGGAAGACAAUGAUUAGCUCGUGGUCAUCCAUGAAUGGCUUAACUAUAGCCGCUUUCUCUCUCCAUUUAAUGGCAUAUUCUCUGAAAUUUUCAGUUAGUUUCUUCUUCAGGUUUGAAAGGAAAUUGCGGUCUGGGGCAAUGUCGAUGUUUUAUUGGAACUACUUGACAAAGGCCUGGGCCAUGUCAUCCCAGACAUGCCAGUGAGAGGUGUCUUGAUCAGUAAACCAUACAGAGGCUACCCCUGUCAGGAUUUCCCCAAAAUGAGCCAUUACUAGUUCUUCUUUUCCUUCCACACCUCUUAGUUGAUUGCAAUACCUUUUCAGGUGAGCUAUAGGGUCUCCAUGUCCAUCAUGCUUUUCAAAUUUGGGAGUCUUGAAACCAGGUGGCAAACGAACAUCAGGGAACAUACAUAGAUCCUUAAAGGCUAUUAUCUUCUGACUUGCCAACCCUUGCAUGUUUUUCAACUGUUGUUCUAAGCUUUUCACUUUGUGGAUCAUUUCUUCCUGUGCCAUCCUUCGGGCAGGCUUCUCAGUCUUUGCAGGAAGAUCAAAUAGGUACGAGUGGUAAUCAAGAGAGUGGUACUGUUCUUGUUGGAUAGCAAAUUGUGACUCAUGAGUUUUUCUCUGCACCACAGUCGGUUGUGGGAUGGUGAAGACUGGCAUAACAGUAGUGGUUAUUUGAUUGGUUGUCAAUGGCACACCUUGGGAGCGCACAACAGAAGUUCCAGCUGUAGUCGUACAGUUGGGAUAAGUACUGAACCCAGGGGGAUAAGAUUGAUCAGACAAUGAGACCGAAAUGGCAGUAGUCGAGAUGGGUGUAAACUCUGGGAAACCAUGAGAAGAAAAGGGUGGUCCUUGGCCAUUGUCCCAUGCUUGAUACAUUUCAGUCAUUUUUGUUUCAGUACUCUAUUUUCCUCAACCACAGUAGACUCUUGUUGAACCCUCUGACCCUGAGUCUCAUGACUGCUUGCAACAGCUUCGAUGUCAGUUGUCAUUUUUUCCUUUGGAUUUUGUGUUGUUAGCUUACCACAAACCGACCACCUCAACUUUCUUCACAAUUCAAAAUAAAAACAUGUUAGAAUUGACUCAGUCGGUCCUUAUUAUUAUCAUUCGUCCUCUUUUUUUUCACCUUUUCUUCUUCUUUUUCAAAAUCAUUCGAUCAAACCUGAUGUGAUUUGCCUAUGUAUCAUGUGGGAACAUGAAUCAGAUCUUGCGUAAUUCGGAAAGAUCAGGAUUAAAGAAAAUAAACUAACUCUUUUUUUUUAUUUUGAAUUUUUUUUCCAAAAGAAAGACUUAUAAAGAAGAAAGAAAAUAUUUUUGGAUUUUAAAUUUUUUUUUUAGGAAUUUUAAAAGAAAAACUUCUAAAAAAGAAAGAAAAUAUUUUUGAAUUUUUGCUUUUAUGUUAAAAUUAUGAAAGAAAGACUUCUAAAGAAAAUAUUUUUGAAUCUUGAAUUUUUUUUUCAAUUUUUGAAAGAAAAACUUCUAAAGAAGAAUGAAAAUAUUUUGGAUUUUUAGAAAAAAUUAAAAGAAAAUAUUUUUGGAUUUUUUUUUAAAUUGGGGUCUCAAAGAAAGACUUUUCUAAAAAAGGAAUUAAAGGAACAUAUUUUUGGAUUUUUGAAAAUUGAGGGUCGGAACCGAUAAGGUUUGCCUACGUAUCUCACAUCCGGUGAGAAUCAGACUCGCGUAGUUCGGUUAGUUUUGACGGAACAGGGGAAACAUGACUUUUGAAAACAAUCACUUAUUUUCUUUCUCUUUGUUUUUGUUUGAAAAUUUGGCAGAGUUUUGGAUUAGCUACCUCUCACUCUUGAUUUUUUUUUUUUCUGAUUUUCUUCUUUUUUCGAUUUUUUUUCCUAUUCUAGCAGCUAGUCAACAUGCAAGCCGAAACAAAUAGAUACGCAAAUAGCACGUAAGAUGCAUCAGGAUGGUCUUUUAAUUUGGGUAUACCUGUCCUAGACGGACUCAACCUCUAUGUUGAGCUCCAAAGUCAAAUGCACAUGAUGCAAACAAACAUACCUACUAGGGAUCCGACAUGAGGCAAUGUCAUUCUAAGUUUAGAACCUAGGUGUAUUAUUCUAGAACUGGCUUACCCGAGUGGACAGUUCGAGCCGGGAGGGGGUGGGAGAGAGGGGGGAGGGCAACAUACCGGGAAUACAGAAGCUUCACCGGCUUUGCAACUUGUUCGAACCUCAUUCUAAUAUUGGGAUAUGACUCUAACAGAAAAGAAGCCGCGCGAAGCGCACGCUCCCCAAAAGAUUUAGAAGACUUAGAGAGAAGAAGUGUUUCUUAACAAUUUUAUAUACAGUUCAAUCAAUAUCAAAGCGGUAAAAAGCGGCAUUUAACACAUUAGGCUCAAACAUGUAAAAAAAUCAUAUAAUAAACAAAAGCCAACUAUAACAAUUAUUCUAAGCUUGAAUUCUGAACCUUGAACCAGAGAUUCUGGGUUCAAUCCCCAGCAGAGUCGCCAGAGCUGUCACACCUCCUUUUUCUUGAGGGGAUAGGGAGUUUUUUCAAUUAAAGUGACGUUAAUCGAAAUGGAAUUAUUUAUUGAUUCAGAGUCGCCAUUUGAGAUAAUUAUAUAGUGUCACAAGUCACCGGUUUGUUUUGAAUCCCAAAUCGAGGAAAGUUUGACUCUGUUUAAAAGUCCGCAAAACCAGAAGACCGGGUAAGGAAUUAUAUUAACUCGAGAGAAGGUGUUAGGCAUUCUCGAGUUUCGUAAUUUUAGCACGGUCUCUCAACUAUUAAUAAUUGGCCUAAUUAUCUUAUUUAUUACAUAUUUAAAGCCUAUUGUGCAUUUCGUCGUUUUAAUCGCUUUUAAUUAUCUAUUAACCACUUUUCAGUUUUUUGGGAUUUGUUUGAACAAGUCGCGAUGUCGCGCACUCGUUUAUUUUGUACACAUUGCGAAUCGCGUCACGAGAAUCGUACCCGCGACCUACAACAUGUUUAUUUUAUUAUUAUUCGAAAUUAUGGUCGGGUCACAUGAAAUACACAUCUGAAUUGAGAUUUACGUAUCGUGAUCAUACCACGGGAACCGUACCCAUGACCACGUAAUUUAUUUUAGGCGCCUAAAGCAAGCUACAAAUGUUUAUAACCAUUAUUGAUUCAUGAAACAAUAUAUUGCCAAGUCAAGAAUUUUAUUAGAACUACAGGCUAAAAGAAAGAAAAAAAAUCGUUGAAAGACUUUAAAACAUCAUUCACAAAGAAACAAAAAAAAAAAAAAAGGAAACUCUCACAUGGGUAAUUGAACCUGACUAUGACCAAGCUAAACUACAAUAUUCUAAAACAAAAGCCUGAUUGUUGUUCUUCUUUAAUAGCACAAUCACAUAAUAUCAAUGAGCCAACACAUCCAAGUUUCAGAACCAACAACCUUAUAAGUAACAAAUAUUCAGUCAAAUAAUACCAUGAGCUUACUUAUGAAGAACGAGAAAACAGUUAUAUGGAAGCUUGGGUAAUUCUCAAUGAAUUAAUCAUGAACGCAAUAACUUCCAUCAGAGAAGGAAAAAUCAAUCAAAGCUCUAACAUAAUUUUAAACUGACAUCUCUGCAAUAUGACAUUAGCUGAGUUUUCAGAAAGUCUGUUGGGUUCCGAUUCGAUUAUAUGAAGCUUAAACAAACGGGCUCACAUAAUGACAUUUAAACAAUAAAUUCAAACAACAAAUCCAACGAAACAAAGAGAAAGUUGACAUAAAAAUGGAUAUGAUUAUGUAUUUAAUCAGAUAUGAAAAUAACAAGGACAUACCUAGUUACACGAGGAUUAAUUUUUAAAAGAAAGAAUGUCAAAUGGAGGCUGAAAUCAAUAGCGAAUCAGAACUCAGCUAUAGCGACCCAGCAAAUCAAGCAGUCAGAAAGUAUUUCAUAGCUUGAUAAGUUUUUAAAUUUCCAGAAAAAUCAGUGUAGAUGAAUGGAAACUGAAAUAGCUUGGAAUCUCCUUUUUACCUUGCGAAAUUUCCAGAUUUGAGAACUUUAGAAAUAGCUUGGAGAAGAUGGAGGGGCGGCCGGUUUUCUUUUAGGAAGAAGGUGGGAGGGGUCGCCGUUCUUCUGCUACUGAAGAAGAAACAAAUUUAGGCGUGCUAAGGUUUUGCAAGGGGAAAGUCCGCCGUUUG
RNAcentral lists this long non-coding RNA (11691 nucleotides) under Nicotiana tabacum (common tobacco). RNAcentral describes it as "long non-coding RNA (NTAB_LNC016943)". The record is from RNAcentral. Lineage: Eukaryota; Viridiplantae; Streptophyta; Magnoliopsida; Solanales; Solanaceae.